Molecule: long non-coding RNA, 2401 nt
Organism: Rhipicephalus sanguineus (brown dog tick)
Lineage: Eukaryota; Metazoa; Arthropoda; Arachnida; Ixodida; Ixodidae
Exons: 3
Source: RefSeq, a predicted model, not a curated record
CGUCCGCGGUUGACGAUGUCAUGAUGGUCGCUCUUUAUUUAUUCGGAGUUAUUUAUUCAGUGGCCGAAUACAUGUGGUUGCAAUGGUUGUAGCGUUAUUGCGUUGUAACAUGUUUGUGGGUGUGGUGUGUUCGUGUGUGUCAUACGUACUGGUCGCAUCAUUGGUAGUGACGGCAAGUGGAUGUGAAAGUAGUGAAAGUAGUAGUUCUACGUUAUGUGUGUCAGAUGCCUUGCACUCUCUUUCCUUUUUUGUUGUUUGCGUCGAAGAACUCGCAGUCACGUUGUGCGUACAUUCCUCGUUGACGUGAUCGUGAGCUACGAACAGUACUGAAUCACUAGUGUCCACGUGCCAGCUGAUUGGUAAUGGGGUCUAACCACCCAAGGUGAUCCAGCUGGUUGCAGGGGUUAGCAAAAAGAUGCGGGGUGUCUCAUCUGGUAAAGUCGAUGCGUCUUAUUGUGCCCUGCACAGUCGAUCUGGUGUCGCUUGCGCAGUGCGCUUGUUAUGUGGUCCGGUUUAGGAGUUCAAUUUGUGAACUGCUGCCGCUUUUUACCUAACAGCGUUCAUCGUUCUGUUCAACGGCGUUGUUUUGUUGCGUGGUAGGUGCCAAGACAAGGAAAGCAGCGCUAGCUCGUGAGAAAAGGCACAGGAUUCGAGCGGCGAAAGUUUCAACGUAGAAAAGCCCCUUCUUGACAAUCCACUAAGACAUGGAGCAUGGUCAACUUCUACCACAGGUUGGAGAUGCAGAACCAGCAGCAAGUAACGCAUUUCUCGGCUCAAAGAGGUUGGCAUCAAAGAGUUUUUCUGCCAGCAGGGAGACACUCUUGAGGGUAAAUGCCAUCGCGAUGACAGACAUUCUCCUGCCGUCCUGGGCAACGAGCCGUUCAUUUGCCAACCGCAGCUCCAUCAGUUCUUGGCCAGCAGCCUCCAUGGACCUCUCUUUGGUGAGUGAAUGUUGAUGGCCGCAGGGGAGCCUUGAAACCAGCAGCAACAGGAUUGCUGGAGUUCAGCAGGUCAAAUGCACUGCAAGGGAAAUAAUAGUUAUUAAAUCAGAUUACGCACCACCACAUAAAUUCAAAAGGACAUUUUUAGAUGUGCAUGCAAACUUUCAAAAAAGAUUGAAAGAUCCUGCAGUCUGUGCAGUUACAAUAUUUGAGACUGUUCUUGUAAAGUUCAGCAUUCUUUGAACUUUCAGCUUCACUUCACAUUUCCUCAAAUUUUUUCAAAAAAGGUUUGAAAACCUGCACUUGAUAAGACGCUCCAAUGCCCACAAUCAGCCUAAGGAAAGUUAUCAAAGUACUUGAGAUGUUCACAAUUGUAGUGAAUGAUGCUUGUUAUUAUGUUGUACUGAAAUGCAGCAAGAAGGAUAGCACACGAACGUGAGAAGGAAGAAAUGUUUUUUCUUUUUUCUUGAGUUUCUUCUCAUGCUCUUGCUCAAUGUAUUCAACAUUAUUUACUUGUAACGUUACUUUCACUUCUGGUAGGUUUCCAAUAUCCAUUGAGGUGAAGCAUUAUUCUCAGUGUUGAAUACAAAUGUGGUUGCAGGGCUCAGUUAUUAUGUGAAUAUUUUAUCCACAUAACCUAGACAAUGCUACUACUAAUCUGUAUGCUUGCAUCUGAAUGACUGUUGCACACCUGACGCACAUUGCUUUCUUUUUUCCAACAUCAUUUAAUGUAACACAGAUACGACUUUGUGGCAUCAUGCCGCUUGUAUACACUCGUAUGCUGCACCCGACAGAGUCCACUUAUGCUUGCCUGUAUGGGAUGUAAUGACCCUGAAUAGCGUCAUUUCAUUCCUGUGAAUGAACGGUUCAUCCAUGAUGUAAAGUGUGUUUUUCUUUCGUGUUCCUUUUCCAAAGAUUUGUAGAAAUUAAUGUUCAAACUUUUAUUAUUAACCUGUCUACCAGCGGUGCAUAGUGUAAUAUCUUGCGAAAUUUUUUUAUUGCUAUUUCACAGCAGAAAUAUAUUUAUUAAACCUGUGCAUCUAACAGUUGUGACCCAUUAAACUUGUAUUCUUGCCUAAUAUAUAUGCUUCACAUUUAUGCUGCUGAGAAAAAAUGGUGACCACAUGUGGUGUUCAUCAACAUUCAUCAGGAUCAUGUGGAACUUUUUAUUGCUGCUGUUACCUUUGAUGCAAUUGAUAACAAAGUAUUGUAUUUAGAUGCAUUGUGCACCUGCUUUAUUUACACUGCUCCACAACAGCUUCUAGUAAUGCUCCUUGUAUAAAAAUAUUUGCUGGGUGUAUUUAUUACACACAAAGAGAACUGAUUGAGACGGAGGAAUGGCCCGCCAUUCUAUGUAGACCUGUGUGCCCUUUCGAAGUAGUCAACAUUCACUUUCUCUCUUAACUUCUCUGUACUACAAUGUUUCAAAUUCCAAUAAAUUUGCGUCUUAUUGUUGAGUA